Molecule: non-coding RNA, 897 nt
Organism: Chrysemys picta bellii (western painted turtle)
Lineage: Eukaryota; Metazoa; Chordata; Testudines; Emydidae
Source: RefSeq, a predicted model, not a curated record
GAGCCUGGAGGAGUAUCUAAAAUAAAACCCACACAUAUUAGCAAAGAAGUGUGGAAUCUGACUGACACCAUUCCAAAGAAAGCCUCCGGUUUGGACUAGCUAUGCCAUCAUCCGGUGCCAGCUAAACUCAUGGUAGCAGUCACUAAGCAGGACAAGAGGGAUCUCUUCUGGAACUACUUGAACCAUCAUGUGAUCAUCAGCAGCUUGGAAAGGUAUCACAGGGAUUGAAAUCAUGCUUACUUCAUAACAGUUAUGCUGGGCUGGACACGUGUUGAGGAUGGAUGACAGCAGAAUGCCAAAACAGUUUCUGUAUGGCAAACUGAAAAUGAGCAACUACAUACAAGGUGGACAGAAGCAAUGCUUCAAGGACACACUGAAGCAUAACUUAAAGCAGUGCAACUUUGCCAUUGACAGUUGGGAGUCAUCAGCACCAGACAGAUCACACUGAGACAAAGGAGAAACAGAGAACUACUAGAUGCCAGAUUCAAGCAACAGAGAGGGAUGUGAAGAACUAGAUUGCACUAGGAAGAAAGUAGAAGAUGCUUCCAGGUCUCUGCGAAAUGACACGAAUGAAGAAAAACCUACUUAGAGACCUGAAAAUAGCAGAAGUCAUUGGGAAGAAUAGUAUGAGAAGCAGGAUUCAUGGCCUCAACAGUGUGCCCUCUUCCUAUGAUGUGGUGGCAGCUCCAUGGAUACUAAAGAAAACAGCCUUCUCAUUUAAACAAGAGUUAUGUACACAGGUGUAAACCAGGAGCGACUUUGGUGAAGCUAGUAGUGGACAGCAGGCUUCUGGUCAUUGUAAUCUCAUGGAAUGGAUUUCCAUAACUGUGGGACAGACACCUAUGAAGUUCAAUAAAUGAAGGUGGGUUUAAUAAUAUUAAAUGUUGUUUAUGAUUU